UUUGAUCCUGGCUCAGGAUGAACGCUAGCGACAGGCUUAACACAUGCAAGUCGAGGGGCAGCGGGGGAGUAGCAAUACUCCCGCCGGCGACCGGCGCACGGGUGAGUAACACGUAUGAAACCUGCUCGCAGCAGGGGGAUAAGCGGAAGAAAUUCCGUCUAAUACCGCGUAACAUCCCGGAGGGGCAUCCCUUCGGGAUUAAAGGAGCGAUCCGGCUGCGGAUGGUCAUGCGGCGCAUUAGCUGGUUGGCGGGGUAACGGCCCACCAAGGCGACGAUGCGUAGGGGUUCUGAGAGGAAGGUCCCCCACACUGGUACUGAGACACGGACCAGACUCCUACGGGAGGCAGCAGUGAGGAAUAUUGGUCAAUGGCCGAGAGGCUGAACCAGCCAAGUCGCGUGAGGGAAGACGGCCCUACGGGUUGUAAACCUCUUUUGUCAGGGAGCAAAGAACGCCACGAGUGGCGUCUCGAGAGUACCUGAAGAAAAAGCAUCGGCUAACUCCGUGCCAGCAGCCGCGGUAAUAUGGAGGAUGCGAGCGUUAUCCGGAUUUAUUGGGUUUAAAGGGUGCGCAGGCGGAAUGUCAAGUCAGCGGUAAAAUUUCGGGGCUCAACCCCGUCGUGCCGUUGAAACUGGCGUUCUUGAGUGAGCGAGAAGUAUGCGGAAUGCGUGGUGUAGCGGUGAAAUGCAUAGAUAUCACGCAGAACUCCGAUUGCGAAGGCAGCAUACCGGCGCUCAACUGACGCUCAUGCACGAAAGCGUGGGUAUCGAACAGGAUUAGAUACCCUGGUAGUCCACGCAGUAAACGAUGAAUACUAAUUGUCCGGGCCGAUUGAGGUCUGGGUGAUACAGCGAAAGCGUUAAGUAUUCCACCUGGGGAGUACGCCGGCAACGGUGAAACUCAAAGGAAUUGACGGGGGCCCGCACAAGCGGAGGAACAUGUGGUUUAAUUCGAUGAUACGCGAGGAACCUUACCCGGGCUCAAACGACGGAUGAAUGUUUUUGAAAGGAGGCAGCCCUUCGGGGCAUCCGUCGAGGUGCUGCAUGGUUGUCGUCAGCUCGUGCCGUGAGGUGUCGGCUUAAGUGCCAUAACGAGCGCAACCCCCAUCGCCAGUUACCAGCAAGUAAAGUUGGGGACUCUGGCGAGACUGCCGGCGCAAGCUGUGAGGAAGGCGGGGAUGACGUCAAAUCAGCACGGCCCUUACGUCCGGGGCGACACACGUGUUACAAUGGCAGGUACAGAGAGAAGCAAUGCGGCGACGCAGAGCGGAACUUUAAAGCCUGUCUCAGUUCGGAUUGGAGUCUGCAACCCGACUCCAUGAAGCUGGAUUCGCUAGUAAUCGCGCAUCAGCCAUGGCGCGGUGAAUACGUUCCCGGGCCUUGUACACACCGCCCGUCA
Molecule: ribosomal RNA, 1397 nt
Filed under: uncultured bacterium
Lineage: Bacteria
Description: 16S ribosomal RNA
Rfam family: Bacterial small subunit ribosomal RNA
Source: RNAcentral